ACUUUCAUACUGGCGUUUAUACCGCACGUGAGCGAUCAAAAAUGAAGGUAUACUGCCUUUACGAUGGAAAGAAUGUCGUGGGCGAGGUCGUUAACAGCAUGGCUGAGUCCUUCAAGCUGAAGAUCGAUAUACCAGCCUCCUGGAAGGAAGGGCCUUGUGAGCGACUUCUUACUUUCUUUCUGAAAACACUCAAGGCGAAGCGUGAUGUCGAUGUGGCUGCCGACGACGUGGUGAUGCAGUGCAGUGGUCUCUCUAUCAGGCUGCGAGACUCUAUCGCAAGUUGCAUUUCUGAUUACAACGAUAUCGUUAUUCUGCACAAAAUACCGGGAAAGGUAGAGGGGACACAUGAAGGCGAACUGCGGUGUACUAACUUCGGCUGUAACCAGUACUACAAGGAAGAAGAGAAUACGGACAACUCAUGCCAUUAUCACUCCAAGGGUCCCGUAUUUCACGACUUGGAAAAGUACUGGGGCUGCUGCGAGGGCAAAAAGACCUUUGACUGGGAAAGUUUCGAGGGAAUCCCAAAGUGCUGUGUGGGUCGACACAGCACGGCAAACAAGCCGUUUGUGUUUCCGAAGGAGGAGGUGUUGAACAUCCCUCUUUCGGCCUCUCAGGUGGCACGAGCAAGCGGGGCAUCCUCGGGCAUGCACGACGGGAAGCGAACUACUGGGCCGAGGGAGUUCGAGGGGGCUGCAUUUGCGCAGACUGAGCCGCAGCAAAUUGUGGAUGGCAAGGCGAGGUGUCGGAAUUUCGGUUGUGCAAAGGAGUUUGUCGUCGCGGAGAACACGGAUUCAUCUUGCCGUUACCACAAAGAAGGACCUGUUUUCUGGGACACGUACAAGUACUGGAAGUGCUGCCCGGAGAAGAAGUGCUUAGAGUUUGAUGACUUUGUGAAUGUGCCCGGGUGCUGCGAGGGAGCGCACAGAGUGUGAAAGUGUACAAAAUCUAGCACAUAUGCAUAUAUGUGAGUAUGAGGCGCAAAACUCCCCUGUUUCUUCGUAAGCAGACUAAAGUAAAUCAUGCUUUUGUUUUCAGUCCCUUCUUCGGCUUUUCUCCCUGGACUGUGGCAAGCAAAAGAAAGGUGUUUAGAAUGCAUCGCUGCGGCGAUGGAGUUAAUGAGGGUAUUAGGUGUCGUCUGUAUCUUGGAUGCUUCGCUGUCUUUGUUUUGCCUUUGCAUGGGUUUCCUUUUCUUGUGGCAACGGAAUGGAG
RNAcentral lists this unclassified non-coding RNA (1209 nucleotides) under Leishmania donovani. RNAcentral's name for it is "gene:LdHU3.20.2180(CDS-product:CHORD_putative)". Lineage: Eukaryota; Euglenozoa; Kinetoplastea; Trypanosomatida; Trypanosomatidae. The record is from RNAcentral.